AGCACGUCAUGGUGGGCACUCUAAGGAGACUGCCGGUGACAAACCGGAGGAAGGUGGGGAUGACGUCAAGUCAUCAUGGCCCUUACGGCCUGGGCUACACACGUGCUACAAUGGUCGGUACAAAGGGUUGCCAAGCCGCGAGGUGGAGCUAAUCCCAUAAAACCGAUCGUAGUCCGGAUCGCAGUCUGCAACUCGACUGCGUGAAGUCGGAAUCGCUAGUAAUCGUGAAUCAGAAUGUCACGGUGAAUACGUUCCCGGGCCUU
This 263-nucleotide ribosomal RNA is filed under the name uncultured Pseudomonas sp. Its description in RNAcentral is "partial 16S ribosomal RNA". It matches the Rfam family "Bacterial small subunit ribosomal RNA", at positions 1120 to 1382 of the family's 1533-position model. Lineage: Bacteria; Pseudomonadati; Pseudomonadota; Gammaproteobacteria; Pseudomonadales; Pseudomonadaceae. The record is from RNAcentral.